UUGGCCACCUGGCUCUGAGAACUGAAUUCCAUAGGCUGUGAGCUCUGGCAAAUGCCCUAGGGACUCAGUUCUGGUGCCCGGCUGUGCUAA
Molecule: microRNA precursor, 90 nt
Filed under: Mesocricetus auratus (golden hamster)
Lineage: Eukaryota; Metazoa; Chordata; Mammalia; Rodentia; Cricetidae
Description: mir-146 microRNA precursor family
Rfam family: mir-146 microRNA precursor family
Source: Rfam by way of RNAcentral